AAAUUUUGAAGAAAGGAAAUUGUUUGGUAUAGAUUGAAACGAAUUUUGCGUUAUGAGCAUUAUUGAGAUAUAAUGUUUUUAUAUUGUCUCCAUCUACUCGGCUUUAGAUGCUUUUGAUGGUAAUUGUUUACUCACUAGGAUUAUGUAAUCUCACCCCUCUUCCUACCCAUUUUUCAAGCUCAUGACAGUUUGUUGAUAGUUGAUUAAGAUGAGAAUUAAUCCUGAAGUUGCAUCCUACACCUUCUUGGUCGAUUGGGGGCCCACAUGUCACUGUAAAAGUAAUUUUAUACUUCAGUUAUCUGAUUUAAAGUAUGUAUGAACAUAUUUAGCUUUUACACCAUGUUUUUGGCGGGUUUCGAUAUUUUCUAAGAAAAAUGACGAAAAUACCCCU
RNAcentral lists this long non-coding RNA (391 nucleotides) under Theobroma cacao (cacao). Its description in RNAcentral is "long non-coding RNA (TCAC_LNC006210)". Lineage: Eukaryota; Viridiplantae; Streptophyta; Magnoliopsida; Malvales; Malvaceae. The record is from RNAcentral.